Molecule: long non-coding RNA, 344 nt
Organism: Arabidopsis thaliana (thale cress)
Lineage: Eukaryota; Viridiplantae; Streptophyta; Magnoliopsida; Brassicales; Brassicaceae
Product: other RNA
Exons: 1
Source: RefSeq
GCGAUUUUAUACGGCCGAAGCGGUCGUUUAGGUGUUACGAAAGUGGAAAUGGUGCGUCGUGGAAUUGCACUGAAAUCAUCCCCACAUAUCUCCUCCCGCCUCUAAUAGCUUCUGGUUCUUUCCGUUCUCAUAUAUCUAGCAGAUCCACUACCUAUCUACCAUGACGCCAAGUAGUGACGGUACUGUCCGUCGUACUUAUUGCUCUCUAUUUUUAGAACAUGACGAAUGAAUUGUAGUUAUCUAUUAUUGUAUCCCUCCUAAUUCUAAUUAAUGUAUUCAACUAUUAGAAUGUAUUGAAAAAAUCGCUUAUUUUUCUGUUUGUAAGUUAAAUUUUCCUAUAUCAC